GACGAACGCUGGCGGCGUGCUUAACACAUGCAAGUCGAGCGAUGAAACUACUUCGGUAGUGAAUUAGCGGCGAACGGGUGAGGAACACGUGAGGAAUCUGCCUUCUACACUGGGAUAACUCCGGGAAACCGGGGCUAAUACCGGAUAUGAAACUUGGUGGCAUCACCGAGUUUGGAAAGUUUUUCGGUAGAAGAUGACCUCGCGGCCUAUCAGCUUGUUGGUGAGGUAAUGGCUCACCAAGGCGACGACGGGUAGCCGGCCUGAGAGGGCGACCGGCCACACUGGGACUGAGACACGGCCCAGACUCCUACGGGAGGCAGCAGUGGGGAAUAUUGGGCCAAUGGAGGAAACUCUGACCCAGCGACGCCGCGUGCGGGAUGAAGGCCUCGGUGUAACGCUUUCAGUAGGGAAGAAGCGAAAGUGACGGUACCUACAGAAGAAGCACCGGCUAACUAUGUG
This 459-nucleotide ribosomal RNA is filed under the name uncultured bacterium. RNAcentral describes it as "bacterial SSU rRNA". It matches the Rfam family "Bacterial small subunit ribosomal RNA", at positions 28 to 507 of the family's 1533-position model. The record is from RNAcentral.